Molecule: ribosomal RNA, 253 nt
Filed under: uncultured bacterium
Lineage: Bacteria
Description: partial 16S ribosomal RNA
Rfam family: Bacterial small subunit ribosomal RNA
Source: RNAcentral
UACGAAGGGGGCUAGCGUUGCUCGGAAUCACUGGGCGUAAAGGGUGCGUAGGCGGGUCUUUAAGUCAGGGGUGAAAUCCUGGAGCUCAACUCCAGAACUGCCUUUGAUACUGAGGAUCUUGAGUUCGGGAGAGGUGAGUGGAACUGCGAGUGUAGAGGUGAAAUUCGUAGAUAUUCGCAAGAACACCAGUGGCGAAGGCGGCUUCCUGGACCGACACUGACGCUGAGGCGCGAAAGCCAGGGGAGCAAACGGG